GUUUUUCCUGAACUAUAUGUUAUGAAAUCUAUACACAAUUUUUAUUACCACAAAACUUAGAUCAAGUACUAAUUUGGGUAUUGUCACUUAUACAGUUCUAGCAAUUUGCCCUUUAUAAUGUUAUAUCCUAGUGGGGCAUCAUCUGUGUCCCAAGGAAAAUACAUCUUGAACCUUUUGUACUAGUAAAACACUUAUACAAGUUUUAACCCUGACUACAUGUAGGACUCUUAUAUAUCCUGUUGACUAAUAUUAACAUAUCCAUCAAAACAUGUUAGAAAUAAGGCCAAAAUAAAUUAAUAGUGUGUUUCCGGUUUCCCGACCCUACCUCCAUUUCCGACGCCGACCCUAAAUUUUUUAUUGACAAAAAUUAAAAAAAUUAUGAAAAACACGGAUUUUUCGGUCUGUCCGGAUCCGACUAGAAAAUUACAAAUCUUCAAAACGUUUGAUAGCAAAGACCAAUAUAAAUGAGUCAAGCGUUUCAAAAACCAAGAUUUUAAAUAAACAAGCAUGGCUGCAGCUAUUUUUAUAAGCUUUCAAAUAUGCAAAAUGUGAUCACAUGUUUUCAAAAUAUAAUGACAUCAAUUCUGGAUUAUUACAAUAUGAUGAAUCUUUUUUAAGCAUAACAUGAUGGGCAAAAAAAAAGUUUUUAUGACAUACGAAAACAUUUGACAAGACCAUACUUGACAAAUAAUUUUAAGAGUAAAAUCAAGGAUUUGUAUAGUUAGACAAAUAUACUUACUAUAAUAUAAUUACUAUAAAAAUCCUCGGUAAAAUGAAAGCAAUUUACUGCUAAAAUCAAUCCAGCUUUUGUUGUAAAAUAUGCUCCUACCAACAUUGUAAAAAAAAUUCUCAGACAUAAUAUGCUUUUGGGGAUUUGACAGUUGGAGAGGCAGACAAUGUGUUAUGAGAAAUAGAAAGCUUUCCCCAGUAGGCAGACAUGGUGUAUGAUUCAUGUUCAUUUAUAAAUGAAUCUGCCCCAGCACCAUGUCUUCUUUUAUUCUUUUAAAUUUUCUCUAGCUACAAUUUUUUUUCCAUAAUUAAAUAUAAAGACAAAAGAUUCUCACUUUUCUCAAAACCUGAAAUUUUAAUAUUGUCAGAACCCCACUCCUAAAGAUUAAAUUCUGUCAAACAUUAAAACACAUCUAUUUAUUAGAUAAAAAGGGUGCAAGAGAAUUGCCCCUCAAAAAAUAAUAAGCUGCUGCUUAAUAGCAUCGAUUUACAGUGUUUCUACUACUAAAAAAAGGGGGUUGGGGAGGGUAGAAAUCUGUUCCCACAUGUAUACCCUCAACUUAAAGUUAUAUUUAGCUUCUGCAGAUACAAAAACAUUAAAUUGAUAGGACAUUUUUAUUAUUAAUGAAAAUGUAUGUAGAUUUAAUUAAGUUCUAUUAUAAAUAUCAAAGAACCAUGCAGGCACAUUAAAUGAAUUUAUUUGAAUCUUUUUCUGCUUUCAUCGAUAGAAAAAAAUAAAAAGUUUUCAUAAAAUAAAAUGUUUUACCUACCUACCCUACCUAUUUUUUUUCAGGAUGAAAUAGGAAACACACUAUUUAUUUAUUUUGGCCUAAGUAAUAAAAUAUCAAAAAGAAGAUGCGGUAUGAUUGCCAAUGAGACAACUCUCCACAAGAGACCAAAUGACAUAGAAAUUAGAAACUACAGGUCACGGUACAGCCUUCAACAAUGAGCAAAGCCCAUACCAAGUAGAAGAAAGAAAAUAACAAUCCUGGGCAAAAAUAAAAAGGAAAUCACAAACAGCUGUCUGUAAUAAAAAGGUGCAAAACACAACACAAAUAUGAACACUUUGCAACAUUAAACGCAAACUAUUUGGUUUUUAGGGACGUAUUAUGGUAUACAAAUGUCUGUCUGUCUGUCUGGCGUCCACAUGUCGCACCAUAACUUGAGAACCACA
This 1903-nucleotide long non-coding RNA is filed under the name Mytilus galloprovincialis (Mediterranean mussel). Lineage: Eukaryota; Metazoa; Mollusca; Bivalvia; Mytilida; Mytilidae. The record is from RNAcentral.